RNAcentral lists this ribosomal RNA (404 nucleotides) under Fusobacteriota bacterium. RNAcentral's name for it is "Fusobacteria bacterium partial 16S ribosomal RNA". It matches the Rfam family "Bacterial small subunit ribosomal RNA", at positions 355 to 776 of the family's 1533-position model. The record is from RNAcentral. Lineage: Bacteria; Fusobacteriati; Fusobacteriota.
UGGGGAAUAUUGCACAAUGGAGGGAACUCUGAUGCAGCGACGCCGCGUGAGUGAUGAAGGACUUCGUUUCGUAAAACUCUGUUCUAUGGGAAGAAAAGGACUGUACCAUAGGAGAAAGCUCCGGCUAAAUACGUGCCAGCAGCCGCGGUAAUACGUAUGGAGCGAGCGUUGUCCGGAAUUAUUGGGCGUAAAGGGUGCGCAGGCGGCUUUACAAGUUGGAUGUGAAAUAUUGUGGCUCAACCACAAACGUGCAUCCAAAACUGCAAAGCUUGAGUUAAGGAGGGGUAAGUGGAAUUCCUGGUGUAGCGGUGGAAUGCGUAGAUAUCAGGAGGAAUACCGGUGGCGAAGGCGACUUACUGGACUUAAACUGACGCUCAGGCACGAAAGCGUGGGGAGCAAACAGG